CAUACAUUGUAUUUCUUAUUAUUAUUUUUUUUUAACUCAUGUACUUCAGGUUGUUGAUUGCUACAAAAAAAAUUCUAUAUUUUUUCCUAUUUCUAGACAAUUUAUCAAAUAUACUUUUCUAUUUUGUAUGUAUUCAUUACCACAGUUAAGUAUUUAUUUAUUUUUCUCUACGUCACCUUAGCCAUAAGAUUCUCCUGUUGUGAAUUAACUUAUUGACAGAUGGUUCUUUAUACAUAUAUAGUAGUGAGAGCAACAUUCUGCUAACCUGGCAGCAAAGUUUUGUGUAAGAAAGAAAGAUUGUUGAUUGUGUUUUGGUAAAUAGUGUACUGGGAGUUGAAAUAUUGUUGAUUGUGCUUUAGUAAAUAAAGUGCUGGGAGUUGAAAGAUUGUUGAUUGUGCUUUAGUAAAUGGUGUGCUGGGAGUUGUCACUGUUUGUUCUCCCCUGCAAUAAAUUAUGUGCUUUGAUGAACUGAAAUAAUCCAGAUUGAAAUGUAUGUUUUUUUGUGUGUUUUUUUUACUCUCUGACCUGUG
This is a non-coding RNA of Biomphalaria pfeifferi, 530 nucleotides long. The record is from the annotation of a GenBank genome assembly. NCBI's taxonomy places the organism in Eukaryota, Metazoa, Mollusca, Gastropoda, Planorbidae.